This 71-nucleotide transfer RNA is filed under the name Salmo salar (Atlantic salmon). It matches the Rfam family "tRNA". From Rfam's summary of the family: Transfer RNA (tRNA) molecules are approximately 80 nucleotides in length. Their secondary structure includes four short double-helical elements and three loops (D, anti-codon, and T loops). Lineage: Eukaryota; Metazoa; Chordata; Actinopteri; Salmoniformes; Salmonidae. The record is from Rfam by way of RNAcentral.
GCAUUGGUUGUUCACUGGUAAAAUUCUCGCCUGCCACGCGGGAGGCCCGGGUUCGAUUCCCGGCCAAUGCA